Long non-coding RNA from Alligator sinensis (Chinese alligator), 952 nucleotides. RefSeq lists it as uncharacterized. The record is from RefSeq and is a predicted model, not a curated record. Lineage: Eukaryota; Metazoa; Chordata; Crocodylia; Alligatoridae. The transcript is spliced from 3 exons.
CGGGAAGCAGGUGCCCCUACCCUGGCCGUGCCCGGGACACCUGCUGUAGCCACGGGGAGAAGAGCGACAUGCUGCCCUGUGUCUUCUCUACUGGCUUCUCCCAUCUCCAGCCCUCCUUGCUCUAUGUGAUACCAGGCUCACCACUGUCCCAGUCUCUAUCAGCUUCAUCUGGGAUCCAUGACUUUGUGAGAGGUACGUGUUCUGGCUCCUCUGAGCCAGCCUUAGCUGGGCACCCCAACUCUUGACGUUGUUACCACUCUCCCCUGUCAGGGUAUUCAUUCACUUCCUGCUGCUCUGGGCUCUCAGGAGGCCUCACUUCUGGUCCUUCUUGGACAUUGUCUGGUGGGGAUUUUAUCCCUCUUUCUGAGGGACACCCAGCAAAUCGACAUCGGGACACAUCCACAAAGCGUGCCCAUGCUGGCAUGGAGGAGCACGUUUGGGCUUCAACAUUUUGUGCCCCUUUCCCCCGCCACUCCUACACUGGCACCGCUUGUCUUCUGAUGGCGGCAUCUCUACCAUUAUGCCUUUGAUCUUCAGCAGCGUUCUGCGGCCACCACUUUUCCCUCUGCUCCAGCACCAGAGAUGCAGCCAGCAACAUCUCAGCUUGCAGUGAAAAUGGAACCUCAUUUACCUCACUCAUGUCAUACAUACAAAGAUACAAACAUACACUUUUUGCACCAGAGAUGAAGUCACAAUUAGCCCAAACAAUUAGCCCUGAAGUUUUGUUUUCUUGUUUUUUAAAAACCCAGCAUUUACCAGCAGAUUAAGGUUUUACAACUGUCAUUUGAUUCCAGUCACCUAGAUAUUCAAAGUGCAAGUUACAAUGUAAUUUGAUAAGCUGUAGAAGCAAUCUAUUAUCUUCCCUAUCUUACUCCUCUCUUCCUGGUGUGAGCUAUAUGGCAACCCAACUGCUGCCAUUGAUUUAAAUGUAAUUGUGGAUAUUCAGGACCUG